UUUCCCCACCUAAAAAACCCUAGACCUAAUACACACAAGAAAGGAUAUACGCCUGAUAUAUUGAAGGGGAGCUGCGCAGCUUCUCAAGAGGAGACCUUCCAAUUCCCCUGUCAUCUUCUUCGACAAAACCAGACCAGCGAAAAACCAAACGGAGGUCUCUUCUCUCACGCCAACCACCACAGUCGGUGUUCCUCGUUCGAGCUGUUGCUUCGCCGGAACUGAUCACCGACGAGUGACAACGCCACUGGCACAGGUCUGGCCGGAAAUUCCAAGACGCAGCCACGAUUCAAUCAUUCAUACAAAAAAAUAAAAAUACUCUAUUUUCUUCUUGCAUCUUCGUGACUCUCAUCUCAAAAAUCAAAGGCGUCGCUUUCCGAUUUUUGUUCCAGAAUGGAGAUUGUUUGAGUUUUGAAAUCGAGUCGAGAUCAGGGUCGCCGGUGGCAUCAAAGUACUGCCCGUUGGUUUUUUGGUUUGAUUGAGGUGUCGUUCAAAGUCGGAUCGUUCGAGUACCAUCCGUUUUCAAUUUCGGCGUUAGCAGGAUGGCUUAUGUUGCUUGUGUAAUUGCUGAACACUUUCGCUAAUUGAAAGCUUGAUUUUCAGCUUCAUAAUCUAUUUUUCCCAUAUUAUUUAAUUCUAUUAGAUCUCCGUUACAUGUACUCUGUUUUACUUUCACGCCUAAGGUAUGUGAUUUCGAAUUUGUUUUGCUUGGAGAUAUUGGGAUUGCGAUCCGAUGUGAUUUUGUGAUGACUGAGUUAGUGUUCGAAUCUGUCGAGCCUCACAUGAACAUGACGUAUGUUUGAUUGGUUUUCUUGCUUGAAUUUCAAUUGAGUCGAGUUUUUGAAGUUGUCCGAACUCACUUGUCGAUGUAGAUCUUAGUGGUAAAACGACUUACUUCCUGUAUCGAGGGAAACAUUAGUGUUAGAAAAUAACCUCUCUGCUUGAAUGAAUGAGAGUGUAUUUUCCUUCAUCCGUGUAUUUGCGGUAAUCUUCGUUAAUUAAAGACCAUCGAAGGUUCAGUUCUUCUUUCCUCUUAAUGUAGUGUUUAACUAUUUGUGAAUGCAAGUAAAAUGGAAGUUGCUUGAAUUAGUUGGUCUGUUCGCUUUAUAUGUUAUCACCUCGGCUAUUUGGAUUAGAACUUGGUUUUUGAUCCAUGUAUUGGUUGUUCAAGGAGGACUCUUGUGAUUCCAGAUUGAAUCUGGAUCCUUUUUAGGUUUGUGUUUUACCGUUGUUGAGCUCCUAAGUUGAUUUUGCUUCGCUAAAUGUGAUAAAAUGUGCACAAAUGCUUAUUGAUGAACCCGCUAGAUUUCUAUUCUAUGUUGGGCUGAUUUCACCAAUUCUCAAAAUUUUCAUUGGCAUAUUCAAAUUUGAAUAGGAAAGAGAAGAAUCAUGUUGAUUUAAUUGUUGUAAAGUUAUUAGAAAGCUAGCAUUCCCUGGAUCACGGGCAAGUUGACAAAAAGUUUAUCUUAUGGUUUAGCCGACACUCUCAAUAGAAUGAAUUAGGCUAUUUGAAUUUGUUUGAAUUAAUAUGCAAAAUGUGUUAGAUCAUAUCAAAAGGGAUAUUGGAUUGAUAUAUCGGCAUGAACCUAUUUAAUUGUGUUAGCUUGGAAUUGAAUAAAUCGAGAUGCGCCGUGCUGAACAAAAAUCUCAAUUGCAUGGCUCUCACUUUAUUUAAUCUUGCAUUGAUCUUAGAUUCCGAGACGUUCCAUUUAGCAAAUUCCAUGGCCCUCGUAAAGUGCGAACACGUAGUUGCUUUAGGCGCGUGUUUAAUAAUAUUACUUUCCUAAAUUCGGGUGCACAUUUAUGUGACCAAAAUCCAAAUUCUAAAGAAGUAGAAAUGUGUCAAAAACCACGGGUGCAUUUAUGUGACGUGGUUCGAGACAUGUUUUAAUGACGUUGCAAUUCUCUUUAAAAAUACUAAUAAAAGCGGCUAGAAGUUAAAUUUGCACAUAGGUUCAUAAUUGUAUAAAAUCAGAUAAUAAGCCGAAUGUGACAGUUGAGCGACCGUGCUAGAACCACGAAACUCGGGAAUUCCUAACACCUUCUCCCGUGUUAACGAAAUUCCUUAUUCGGAUUCUGGUUUGCAGACUGUUAAACAGAGUCAAACCUCCUCAAUUCGGGAAUUAAAUCGGUGACUUGGGACACCAUUAAUUAUCCCAAGUGAAGACUCUGAAAAUCUCUUAAAUAAAUAAAUCCCAUUUCGAUUGUCCUUUAAUUGAAAAAACUCCCCUAUCUACGCCCCUUCGCGGGGUUGUAGUAUCCAAAAGGAGGUGUGACAGCCGAAAAAGAAAAUCACUGGGACAAAAGGAAAUAAAAAGCACAAAGAAAAGGAAAAGUCGAACGAGGUUCAAGAUAAAUUCCAACUUGAAUUUUAACCAUGAGAAAAACUUUGAAAAAGAUCUACCAGCCAUGGUACCUGAUAAUAGGCUAGAUUCAUGUAAUUUGGCAUCUGUUUAUGCCCCAGCUUGAUUAUGUUUUACUGUUCUAAUAUAGUUAAAUGAUGGUAAAUGAGCUCUAACUGUGAAUUUUACAUUUUGUAGGAGUGACUGGCAUGAAUGAGGACUUAAGAAUGUACUCGAAGCUAAAUUGAAGUAAGAAAAGCCCUUAGAAGUUGAGUACGUGGGAAGACAAGAGAAAGAAGAGCUAAAAUGGAGACCUGGACUAGCGCGUUCACUAACGCGACCCCGCUAGCGCAGUUAGUCGAGGCAGAAUGAUAGGUGUGAGCUUAUGAUUUUUGACCGGUCGAAACUAACUCCUACAAGACUCUUAAAGCUUAGGAUUUUCUCUUUUAAAAUAUUAGGAUUUAGACAUUAAUUGCAUAUGCAAUUGUUGCGUGUUAGGAUUAAUU
This 2845-nucleotide long non-coding RNA is filed under the name Nicotiana benthamiana. RNAcentral's name for it is "long non-coding RNA (NBEN_LNC024683)". The record is from RNAcentral. Lineage: Eukaryota; Viridiplantae; Streptophyta; Magnoliopsida; Solanales; Solanaceae.